AUACUUAUUGACAGGGGAGAUACCAUGAUCACAAAGGUGGUUUUCCCAGGGCGAGGCUUAUCCGUUGCAUUCUGGAUGUGCUGACUCCUGAGAUUUCCCCAAAUGUGGGAAACUCGACUGCAUAAUUUGUGGUAGUGGAGGACUGUUCACGCUUUUCCCAG
This is a small nuclear RNA of 161 nucleotides. Its record names the gene U1. It matches the Rfam family "U1 spliceosomal RNA". From Rfam's summary of the family: U1 is a small nuclear RNA (snRNA) component of the spliceosome (involved in pre-mRNA splicing). The record is from Ensembl.